RNAcentral lists this non-coding RNA (27 nucleotides) under Mus musculus (house mouse). The record is from RNAcentral. Lineage: Eukaryota; Metazoa; Chordata; Mammalia; Rodentia; Muridae.
UCCCAAGCAUAGUUGCAGGGCAGCAGC